GGCGGGGUAGCCAAGUGGUAAGGCAGGAGUCUGCAAAACUCCUAUGCGUCGGUUCAAUUCCGACCCCCGCCUCCA
RNAcentral lists this transfer RNA (75 nucleotides) under Verrucomicrobia bacterium GWF2_62_7. RNAcentral's name for it is "tRNA-Cys". It matches the Rfam family "tRNA". Rfam says of the family: Transfer RNA (tRNA) molecules are approximately 80 nucleotides in length. RNAcentral also lists the same sequence under 2 other names. Lineage: Bacteria; Pseudomonadati; Verrucomicrobiota. The record is from RNAcentral.